GGGCUCCGAAAGUGACGGCCGAGGAACAGCCUUGGAAAGUCCUGUAGGGCGACAACUCCCGCCGAUGCAAGACUUGAUGAGACCAGUUUCUACGCAAGAGCUUGACCUGUUCCAGGUCCGGAGAAACUCAGUGUGACACGCUUGCUUCCCGACCUUCCUGGUCACUCUCGGAUAUUCCUGAUUGAAAGUCUCCGUGGCGUCCAUUGCCAGGCCUUGUCUGCUCUUGGGGAAGAUGCUCUUCUGUACCCACCAGAUCAGUAUCAGAAAAAACAAGAGCAGCUGAAGACAAACACAAUUUUCCUGAGGCAACAAAAAAACAAAAGAAUGAGUGGUUGAAGUACCACUCAACUUCAAAUGUAAUAUGUAAUUAACUUCAAAUGUUCUAAGGACCAGAGAGGAACCAAAAGAACUGGAUCCCAUGUUUGCAUAAAGGGGUCCAUAUUGUGACCUGAUGAAUUCAAAUGCUUACCUUCCUGCAGAUCAUUUGCAAAGUUCAUUUAACUUCAUUCAAAAUGACAGGUUAAAAUAUGUUCUUUUUAAUACCUCCAAACCCACCACCCAUAAGAAUCAUAAGAUAAACAGUACAAAACACAUCAAUUCACACCCUCCUUCUCUACCCUGUCCUACACGUGGCCCACUGGUAACCACAAACCUUUUGUCCAUAUCAUAGAAAGGGUACUGUAAAGUACACAGUCUUUUUGAGACAUUUUCCCAUUCAGCAUUGUUAGUAAUAUUCAGUCUUGUAGUAUAUCCCAGUUCAAAUUGAAAGUAGCUUUGCUGAAUCCAAAGAGGUUGCUUACAGCUGCUCCAGCUGCUGCUGUUAAUAAUAAAAAUUCAUUAAGAUGCUGCUCCUAUUAGCACUGAGUCUACUGGAGAUAAAGCAGAUCCAGUGUGAGACCUUUUGUUAGCCUGGAGACAGCUCCGUCAGUCAAGCAGCAAGGAUCAGGGAAUCUUUCCUAGGGGCACAUUUUCUUGGGACUGGUACCAAGAAAGGUGCCCUCUUUAUGGGCUCUUAUUCUUCAUCCAUGUCCCAAUGGACUAUAUUAAGUGAAACUGAAAUGCCAUUCUGACUGGGUCUCUUUACGCAGUUUUCCAGUUGCGAAUUCUUGAAUCU
This is a long non-coding RNA of Bos taurus (domestic cattle), 1114 nucleotides long. The record is from Ensembl. Lineage: Eukaryota; Metazoa; Chordata; Mammalia; Artiodactyla; Bovidae.